This 779-nucleotide long non-coding RNA is filed under the name Setaria viridis. RNAcentral describes it as "long non-coding RNA (SVIR_LNC006019)". The record is from RNAcentral. Lineage: Eukaryota; Viridiplantae; Streptophyta; Magnoliopsida; Poales; Poaceae.
CCAAACAAAUCAUCAGACAAUCUGGAAGGAAUCAUCCAGGUCCAAGCAUCCACAAACCAUAUUCUGAAGAAACAAGCUUUAUGCCAUAGGGAAUGGAUGACCUUCUCCAACUACUGAUCCGUAUUCCAUGUACAUCUUCCUAGCCUCUGGAAAAAAAAAGAUACAUAAUAUCAGGACUGACCUAGACACUGGCCACACUACAUUGCUAGCGCUUUUCAACUUUCAAAGGGCACGCGGAGCUUGUCUGGAGGCUGAAGCCAUUUGCUGAACGGCAUAGCCUCACCGUCAGAGUGCAGAAACGAAUUGAACUGACGCAGCCUAACUCGCUAGCAUGUAGUGGGCCACGAUUGAGCCUCUGGCUUUAGGCUUUAGCGCACGUACAACAGUUUAGACAGUUGUUGUCUGCGAGUUAUGCCAUGUUACACAUAGAUAGCUAAAAAGAUAGGUUGUCUAUUUAGACGUCUGCAAACUAUUUGAUUGACCUAUAAACACAUAAAUCGUGAUAAUCAAGUAUAAAUUUGGGUUGUCUAUUUAGAUGUCUGCAAGCAUAAACACAUAAAUCGUGAUGCUCAAGUAUAAAUUUGAUCUUUGUUGCUAUUUUAGACAGCACUGCCUUGUUGACUCAGGCGGCAAUACACCUGCCGCAGCUCCAACCAAAAGCGGCUGGCUGCUGAACUGCCGGAUCCUCAAGGGUUCAGCGGCCGAGCUGCCUUAUCCGGUUGCCCGGCCGGCAGCAGGUAAUGACUCUCGAGCCAGUUGCGUUUAAUUAUAAGCGCUAU